UAUGGUGUAGCUCAGUGAUAGAGUGCUUGCCUAGCAUGUACAAAGUCCUGGGUUUAAUCCCCAGCACUGAAA
This 72-nucleotide transfer RNA is filed under the name Urocitellus parryii (Arctic ground squirrel). RNAcentral describes it as "Spermophilus parryii (Arctic ground squirrel) tRNA". It matches the Rfam family "tRNA". Rfam says of the family: Transfer RNA (tRNA) molecules are approximately 80 nucleotides in length. Their secondary structure includes four short double-helical elements and three loops (D, anti-codon, and T loops). Further hydrogen bonds mediate the characteristic L-shaped molecular structure. tRNAs have two regions of fundamental functional importance: the anti-codon, which is responsible for specific mRNA codon recognition, and the 3' end, to which the tRNAs corresponding amino acid is attached (by aminoacyl-tRNA synthetases). tRNAs cope with the degeneracy of the genetic code in two manners: having more than one tRNA (with a specific anti-codon) for a particular amino acid; and 'wobble' base-pairing, i.e. permitting non-standard base-pairing at the 3rd anti-codon position. Lineage: Eukaryota; Metazoa; Chordata; Mammalia; Rodentia; Sciuridae. RNAcentral also lists the same sequence under 1 other name. The record is from Rfam by way of RNAcentral.